This 400-nucleotide ribosomal RNA is filed under the name uncultured bacterium. RNAcentral describes it as "bacterial SSU rRNA". It matches the Rfam family "Bacterial small subunit ribosomal RNA", at positions 30 to 424 of the family's 1533-position model. The record is from RNAcentral.
AUUGAACGCUGGCGGCAUGCCUUACACAUGCAAGUCGAACGGCAGCACGGGAGCUUGCUCCUGGUGGCGAGUGGCGAACGGGUGAGUAAUGCAUCGGAACGUGCCCUGAAGUGGGGGGAUAACGUAGCGAAAGUUACGCUAAUACCGCAUAUUCUGUGAGCAGGAAAGCAGGGGAUCUUCGGACCUUGCGCUUUUGGAGCGGCCGAUGUCGGAUUAGCUAGUUGGUGGGGUAAAGGCCCACCAAGGCGACGAUCCGUAGCGGGUCUGAGAGGAUGAUCCGCCACACUGGAACUGAGACACGGUCCAGACUCCUACGGGAGGCAGCAGUGGGGAAUUUUGGGACAAUGGGCGCAAGCCUGAUCCAGCCAUGCCGCGUGAGUGAAGAAGGCCUCGGUUGGUU